UCCUACGGGAGGCAGCAGUGAGGAAUAUUGGUCAAUGGUCGAGAGACUGAACCAGCCAAGUAGCGUGCAGGAAGACGGCCCUAUGGGUUGUAAACUGCUUUUAUACGGGGAUAAAGGACGCUACGUGUAGCGUUUUGUAGGUACCGUAUGGAUAAGGACCGGCUAAUUCCGUGCCAGCAGCCGCGGUAAUACGGAAGGUCCGGGCGUUAUCCGGAUUUAUUGGGUUUAAAGGGAGCGCAGGCUGAUGAUUAAGCGUGACGUGAAAUGUAGCCGCUCAACGGCUGAACUGCGUCGCGAACUGGUUAUCUUGAGUGAGUUCGAUGUAGGCGGAAUUCGUGGUGUAGCGGUGAAAUGCUUAGAUAUCACGAAGAACCCCGAUUGCGAAGGCAGCCUACAAGGCCUUAACUGACGCUAAAGCUCGAAGGUGCGGGUAUCGAACAGGAUUAGAUACCCUGGUAGUCC
Molecule: ribosomal RNA, 462 nt
Filed under: uncultured bacterium
Lineage: Bacteria
Description: bacterial SSU rRNA
Rfam family: Bacterial small subunit ribosomal RNA
Source: RNAcentral